RNAcentral lists this long non-coding RNA (281 nucleotides) under Crocodylus porosus (Australian saltwater crocodile). RNAcentral describes it as "lncRNA (ENSCPRG00005005481.1)". The record is from RNAcentral. Lineage: Eukaryota; Metazoa; Chordata; Crocodylia; Crocodylidae.
CGGAAGUUCCCCUGAGAUGGCUGGAGAUCCCCAUCUGGCGAGAGGAGCCCCCACCUCACAGGGACCAGUCUGGAAUGGGGACAUAUGCCACGCAGCUGCUCUCCAGGCUGAUGGCAGGGUAGCCCCUACGCCCCCAGCAAGCUACCAUGGACCACAGGCUGACACAUCAGGCUUCAGCAAGACCUUGAAGGAAAAGCUUGUGUCUGAAGAGGUCUCCCUCCUGGGCAGCUCAGGCACUGUGGUGAAGACAGCUCACCCAGCAGCCUCCAAGGACGCAGCAG